This 505-nucleotide ribosomal RNA is filed under the name uncultured bacterium. Its description in RNAcentral is "bacterial SSU rRNA". It matches the Rfam family "Bacterial small subunit ribosomal RNA", at positions 24 to 518 of the family's 1533-position model. The record is from RNAcentral.
UCAGGAUGAACGCUAGCUACGGGCUUAACACAUGCAAGUCGAGGGGUAACAGGAGAGAGCUUGCUUUCUUGCUGACGACCGGCGCACGGGUGAGUAACGCGUAUCCAACCUUCCCCUUAGUAGCGGAUAGCCCGGCGAAAGUCGGAUUAAUACGCUAUGUUCUUCGUUGAUGGCAUCUGAUGUGAAGCAAAGAUUUAUCGCUAAGGGAUGGGGAUGCGUCUGAUUAGGUAGUCGGCGGGGUAACGGCCCACCGAGCCAUCGAUCAGUAGGGGUUCUGAGAGGAAGGUCCCCCACACUGGUACUGAGACACGGACCAGACUCCUACGGGAGGCAGCAGUGAGGAAUAUUGGUCAAUGGGCGCGAGCCUGAACCAGCCAAGUAGCGUGCAGGGAAUGACUGCCCUAUGGGUUGUAAACUGCUUUUAUCAGGGAAUAAAGUGAGGCACGUGUGCCUUUUUGUAUGUACCUGAUGAAUAAGGACCGGCUAAUUCCGUGCCAGCAGCCGC